CCAACACACACACACACACACACACACACACACACACACACACACACACACACACACACACACACACACACACACCUUUUCUUUACACACACACACACACACACACACACACACACACACACCUUUUCUUUUCCGUUCAUCAGCUUUUCUAUUUGGGGACUUGCUCACUUGUUAGCUGUAGUUCCGGCUCUCUUGUUGCUGAAGCUCUUUUUCCACCAGCAGAGAAUCAGCCAAUGUUCUUGGGUUUCCUGAGAUCUGUUUCCGUCUAGAUGCAAAGGACAUGGAGCACGCUGUUCAGUGAUUCUGGCGUGCUUGGGGGUAGCUGUUUAUAGUAUUCUCCCAGCUCCAAUCUUCAGUUGCUGUGCAGGAGGACAUUUCCUCCUGAACAAAUAUAUCAGUGCAGCUCAGAUUCUGGAAGAAAAUUGCCUCACCUGGCAGAGCCCUCAUUUUGUGUGGGAACAUCAGCUUUGUGUAAAGAAGGCUGUCAUCCCUUCAACCUUUGGGUAGCUGUGACCUACUUCCUUGCUGUCUGGGCACCCACUGUAGCAGCCUUUGUAGCAUCAGUAGAAAAGGGAAGAAUUAGUCUACAGAGGAUGCCUCCAACCCUACUGGCAGGAACCUGGAAGUGACAGGAAUCUAACAGCACAUUAAAACUUCAAAACAAAGCCGUGAACUCUAGCAGUGUUUCUACCUUGAAGACAGAGCAUGGGAGAGAGAGUCAAGAAAACAAAGAUUUGGAACCAAACAGUUCAUCUUGCAGUUGUCUUAAAGGUACAAGUUCCCUGUUAUCUUUCUUUAUGGAGUUGGCAAAUGGAAUGAAGAACCUUAUGCAUGCUAGAGUGAUUAAUUUCACUUUCAGUGCCUUCCUUCCCGAGCCGAAGUGCUUCUGUAGAGACUAAUUCAGUGAAACCUGUUUAGGGGAUCAUCCCUGCUAGACAGACAGCUGCGAGGGGCAUCCGCUUCCCAGCAUGGAUUUCAGAUUAUGACCAAUGAGGAGCCGGAGCUAAGGAACACCUGUCAGCGAUGUUUGCUGCAAGGAGACCAGCUCUUUAAUCGAAUUUCAUUGUACUUCAGAAAAAGGUUUAUUUUAAAUGUGGCGUCUGCUUUUAUGAUUCAUUCCUCUCAGCUGAGACAUCACUUUGGGGCUUAUUUAUGAUGUUGUUCUAGGGUGAAACGAGAAACUGCAAGAAAGUAUUUCAAAAGGCGGCCUUUCCCAGACAUUCAAUUAGCAACCUUGUCAUGUGGGAAAAUAAAAAAAGCAAUGGAAAUCUUUAGUUUUUGUGUGUGAAUAUAAUUAUGAUAGGGAUCCUUCUGAACACACUUUAGAGUGUUGAAGCUGGAUAGUAAAUGCUCUCUGUGAAGUCUGGGGAACUUUCCUUAUGGAAAUCCAUCUCGCUUAUCUGUGAUGUGAGCAGAGCAAACUAUCAUUGAUGCUGAUGGAUUCUGAAAGGCCAUGCUGACUUUCAACUUGGCCCUAAUUGGAGGCCCUGCUAAGCCCCAUAAUACCAGGUACCUUCUCACAGCUGCAGACCAUGGAGUGUAACUAUCAGAAGACAAACUUCACUGUGCAAACUGUAAUUUAAUGGUAUAACUGUGUGCAGCCCAGAAUAUCAGUUAAUUUUCAAAACAUUUUAUUCUACAGCAAUUAGCUCAGGUCCUGGAGGGCAAAAUGACAAGAGGUUACUCGUUCACUAUGUAUUUAAUUAAUUGAAAAAUGCUCCAAUUGCCUUUACAGUUGUUAUUAGAGAGUGGAAUCAGUGUUGCCAGCGCUCAACCAUAAUUGGAACCCCAGGGAAUUAAAUAUUUAGCAUUAGUAAUGUAACGGCACUUAGGACACAAAUUUCUAUUUUCGUAAUGAAAGCUAUACACUGUGAGUGCAAGCGGCUGAAAGGACAGCUGUGACAAGCGAAACGGCCUGGGACAUUUCAAUAAGACACCUCAUUGGACAGCAAGUCUUACCACAUUAUGCGUUUGUAAGAGACCUGCAAGUUUAAUUCCCACAAGGAACUCGUAGCCCAAGUCUUUAGCGUCCUAAUUGCAUGCAGGAUGAACGGUUGGGCAAAUGUCUUGCCAUAAGUGGCUGAAAUUCAUCCUGCUUUCCAAACAAUCGCAUAUAAGUUCGUGCCUUUGUCAAUUUAAAAAUACUGAGACUGUCAGGAAAUAAGGAGCUUGUUUGUUUUCCAUUUAAUUAUAUUUUAAGCACACAUGCUUUCUGUGCUACAAUGAGAAAAGUUAGCUGUUGGUUCUAAUGAGCCGCAGUGUAGAUGCUGGAGACCCUGAGGGAUUCACUCUGUAAAUUAGCUGGAUAAAAAGUACUUGGUUAGGAUAUAGUUGAUGGCUGAGCUGUUCGGAGAACCAGUUAUGGUACUGUCUCUCACUGCUCUUUCAUUCUAAACAGGCCCUGUAGAGACUUUAACAGCUGCCCAUUAAAGCUGCUCAACUUGUCAAAAUGUAUUAUAUUACUCCACUAAUAAAUAGUAUUAAAGGGUAUUUGACUUCACCUCUCAUUUUCAAAGGGGAUCAGGUUGAUAAACACAACUGGCUUAAGCUGGUCUUAUUUUAAUUUGUUUAUGUCAGCUAAGUAAUAUUGAAGGGCCAUGUUUUAAAUUUGCAAACAUUACCUUCCCAGGCAGGCAAAACUUCCCAAAUAUGAUAUACAGUGGAAACAAGGAAUUGAGACACUUAUUGUAGACUGUUUCUCAUUGAAAGGUGCCUGAUUUUGACAUUGUUAGGCCACUUUAAAGAACCUGAGAGCCCUUGACUAAACUGACAACCUCAGAAAAAUAAAAGUCACAAGAUGAAUAAGUAAUGUCACAAGUUUCUGUUGAUUUUCCAUUGUUCCUGUGUCUAUUUUGGAUUAUUCAAAGUGAUCGUGAUUUUUUUUUAUCAAUUUUUAAGCAUUUUUCAAAACAAUGCAUGUUUACUUUAAAAAAAUACUUUAUUUGAUAAAGUCUUCCUUAGACCCUUUCCCAACUCUGCCUGCCUGCCUGCUAGUCUCCUUUGAUAAUAGGUUUUUUUUUUCUUUUGGUCUUGUUUUUUUGCAUGUGCAUGUGUAUAUAUGUGGUGUGCAUAUGUAUGUAUCUGUGAGUAUGAAGGCCAGAGAUUGACAGUUGACAUAAAAUGUCGUCUUAAUCACUUCCCACCAUUUUUAUUGGGGCAGGUCUCUCAGUUGAACCUGAAGCUUGAUGAUCAGCUCAUUCACCCAGCCAGCUUGCUCUGGGUAUAUAUUAUAUACAUACACAUGUUGGUCUAUGCUUAUAGAUCAUAAUGGUGCCUCAGAUCACUCACAUUUAAAAAUUUUGUUACAUUUGUUUUCAG
RNAcentral lists this long non-coding RNA (3318 nucleotides) under Cricetulus griseus (Chinese hamster). Its description in RNAcentral is "lncRNA (ENSCGRG00015040084.1)". Lineage: Eukaryota; Metazoa; Chordata; Mammalia; Rodentia; Cricetidae. The record is from RNAcentral.